Molecule: ribosomal RNA, 420 nt
Filed under: uncultured Bacillus sp.
Lineage: Bacteria; Bacillati; Bacillota; Bacilli; Caryophanales; Bacillaceae
Description: bacterial SSU rRNA
Rfam family: Bacterial small subunit ribosomal RNA
Source: RNAcentral
UUACCAAAUCUUGACAUCCUUUGAAAACUCUAGAGAUAGAGCCUUCCCCUUCGGGGGACAAAGUGACAGGUGGUGCAUGGUUGUCGUCAGCUCGUGUCGUGAGAUGUUGGGUUAAGUCCCGCAACGAGCGCAACCCUUAAGCUUAGUUGCCAUCAUUAAGUUGGGCACUCUAGGUUGACUGCCGGUGACAAACCGGAGGAAGGUGGGGAUGACGUCAAAUCAUCAUGCCCCUUAUGAUUUGGGCUACACACGUGCUACAAUGGACAAUACAAAGGGCAGCUAAACCGCGAGGUCAUGCAAAUCCCAUAAAGUUGUUCUCAGUUCGGAUUGUAGUCUGCAACUCGACUACAUGAAGCUGGAAUCGCUAGUAAUCGUAGAUCAGCAUGCUACGGUGAAUACGUUCCCGGGUCUUGUACACAC